This 253-nucleotide ribosomal RNA is filed under the name uncultured bacterium. RNAcentral describes it as "partial 16S ribosomal RNA". It matches the Rfam family "Bacterial small subunit ribosomal RNA", at positions 524 to 776 of the family's 1533-position model. The record is from RNAcentral.
UACGAAGGGGGCUAGCGUUGUUCGGAUUUACUGGGCGUAAAGCGCACGUAGGCGGAUCGUUAAGUCGGGGGUGAAAUCCUGGAGCUCAACUCCAGAACUGCCUUCGAUACUGGCGAUCUCGAGUCCGGAAGAGGUGAGUGGAACUCCUAGUGUAGAGGUGGAAUUCGUAGAUAUUAGGAAGAACACCAGUGGCGAAGGCGGCUCACUGGUCCGGUACUGACGCUGAGGUGCGAAAGCGUGGUGAGCAAACAGG